Molecule: unclassified non-coding RNA, 279 nt
Filed under: plant metagenome
Description: partial contains small subunit ribosomal RNA, internal transcribed spacer 1, and 5.8S ribosomal RNA
Source: RNAcentral
UUUCCGUAGGUGAACCUGCGGAAGGAUCAUUAUUGUAUAACCGAUGUGCGAGGGCUGCUGUUGACCCGCAAGGUCGUGCACGCCCGAGUGCGCUCACACACAUCCAUCUCACCCCCAGGUGCACCACCGCGCGGGUCCCUCUUUGGCCUGUUCGGAGGGGGGUUUACGUUUUCACAUAAACUUUGUAUUCAGUCUAGAAUUUAUUUUUUGUUUUUGUGCUCUCUGAAUCAAUUCAACUUUCAAUAACGGCUGUCUUGGCCCCCUCAUCGAUGGAGAAUG